RNAcentral lists this ribosomal RNA (253 nucleotides) under uncultured bacterium. RNAcentral's name for it is "partial 16S ribosomal RNA". It matches the Rfam family "Bacterial small subunit ribosomal RNA", at positions 524 to 776 of the family's 1533-position model. The record is from RNAcentral.
UACGGAGGGGGCUAGCGUUGUUCGGAAUUACUGGGCGUAAAGCGCACGUAGGCGGCUUUGCAAGUUAGAGGUGAAAGCCCGGGGCUCAACUCCGGAAUUGCCUUUAAAACUGCAUGGCUAGAGUUGUGGAGAGGUAAGUGGAAUUCCGAGUGUAGAGGUGAAAUUCGUAGAUAUUCGGAAGAACACCAGUGGCGAAGGCGACUUACUGGACACAUACUGACGCUGAGGUGCGAAAGCGUGGGGAGCAAACAGG